ACCCGCGCGCCACGCGUGUGAGCUCCUCCUCUCCUCCUCCACCGGCGACCGCAUAUAAGCCGAUCGGCCGACCAACCUUCUCUCUCUCGCCCUUGUCUCGUUUCGCGGAAGAACCGAGGAACCCCGCCUCGGAUUCGACGGGAACGGAGGUGCCAUCUCCGGCGCCGGCGAGAGAAGUCCUCGACGCUGUCGCAAUCCAAUGAGCCCCAUUUCCAUUCAAUAUGCGUUCUGUAAUCCCCUCUCAAUGCCGUCUUUAACACAACCAAGAACACCUCAUUUGGUGCACCCAAUCUCCAGGAACGCGACCGCGUCAACUCGGAACACCGUAGCGCUCUGGACGCCGCAGCUUCACCUUUGCCUGUCGCCCGGCUUCAACAGUUCGUAACAAGCUGAGCCACUUCGCCACGAGCUUCAUCAACACCUUCAGAUCAAGAAUCCCGAAGUAAUCGACGCGAGGUGGACCACGAUGGGAGAUCCUCUUCUUCUUCCCCAAUUCCGGCCGCCGACGCCAUUCCUUUCUUUCUCCUUCUCUGUACAAGCCCGGGGGUACACCGUAGCAGCCGCGCCGUCGCCGAACCAGUACACCAUCGCCAAGACUUCGCCGAGCCGCGUUCGCUUCUUGACGAUUCGCCGCCGAGUCUCGAGGAGAUCUACUUUGGAGCUGAACAAGGAGUGGAAGAGCAAGGCAAGCCACCUCCCCUCUUUGAUCACAUUGAACCUAUGAUUUGGUGGUUUUUGAAAAGUUUGCAAAAUAUGCAUGUCUAUUGUACACUAAUCCAUUAAAAUCUUGUAAAAUUUGUUAGAUCAACUCCUUUACUUGCAUUAUCACCUAAACUCCACAAAAGACCUUAACCAUUAUUUCAAACCUUAGGAACAAUUGAUUGUGUCACAUUAAGAACGAUGUUUGAAGUCACAAGUCUAUAGAAAUGCUUAGCCAUGCUUAGUGAUGAGUUUACUUACCAUUUGGGCUCAAUUACAUAUAUGAAAUGAUUUAUUUUGUGAUCUGAAUUAAAAUGAUAAAAUGUGAUAUUUGUUAAAUAAAAUGUUGGAAAAUGUGGAUUUUAAGUUUGGGCCUCAUGUGGUACACAUAUGGUGUUUAGUUGUGUGUCGAUAGGGGGAGAAUGUGCCCAGACCGACCUAAGGACUUCACUCAAUGUCAGUUCAUUUUGUAUACAGUACAACCACAUGUGCUAGUAUGGGAUAGCCCAAGCUUAGUAAAUUAUU
Molecule: non-coding RNA, 1224 nt
Organism: Oryza sativa Japonica Group (Japanese rice)
Lineage: Eukaryota; Viridiplantae; Streptophyta; Magnoliopsida; Poales; Poaceae
Source: RefSeq, a predicted model, not a curated record